This 204-nucleotide ribosomal RNA is filed under the name uncultured bacterium. Its description in RNAcentral is "partial 16S ribosomal RNA". It matches the Rfam family "Bacterial small subunit ribosomal RNA", at positions 524 to 726 of the family's 1533-position model. The record is from RNAcentral.
UACGUAGGGCGCGAGCGUUGUCCGGAAUUAUUGGGCGUAAAGAGCUCGUAGGCGGCCUGUUGCGUCCGCUGUGAAAUCCCGGGGCUCAACCCUGGGCGUGCAGUGGAUACGGGCAGGCUGGAGGCAGGCAGGGGAGAACGGAAUUCCCGGUGUAGCGGUGAAAUGCGCAGAGUAUCGGGAGGAACACCGGUGGCGAAGGCGGUU